Talpa occidentalis (Iberian mole) is the source of this 543-nucleotide long non-coding RNA. RefSeq lists it as uncharacterized. The transcript has 5 exons. Lineage: Eukaryota; Metazoa; Chordata; Mammalia; Eulipotyphla; Talpidae. The record is from RefSeq and is a predicted model, not a curated record.
AGCAAUGAGAGAAACCCCUGCUGGACAGGCUGGGAGAUUUGGGGUAACUGGAGCACAGAAAGCAAAGCUGAUGGCGUGGAAGCUGAUCUGGAACAGGCAGCAAGAGGACACAGUGAGACUGAAGCGCUGAGAAAGCCCGCAUGUCCCCUGUGGUGCGGAAGUUGAUGACAAUGUCCACGAUGAACAUGAUGUCCACGAUGAGGUCCACCACGACUGUCCUUCCUCCCCCGUGACUCACAGCCCACCAGUAACUGUGUCUGGGUGACCAGAAGAGGGACCCCUUCCCACCUCGCUGGACUCAAGGGGAGAGGAGAUAUUGACCCGAGGAGGGAAGAAAUCGCCACUAAGAUGCCUCUCAGGAAGAAUUCAGAGACUUGGGUUCCAGUCCCAGGCUGGAUGCCAGAAGCAGGACCUUGGCUGAACCCCUGCUCUUCCUUGAGCCUUGGUGUCCUCAUCCAUGAAGUGAAGGGAUUUAUCUAAGCCAGUGGUUCCUGAACUGGCAGAACACCAGAGCCACCAGAGAAAUUUUUCCAAAUACACCUG